Panicum virgatum (switchgrass) is the source of this 1936-nucleotide long non-coding RNA. RefSeq lists it as uncharacterized. The transcript is spliced from 4 exons. The record is from RefSeq and is a predicted model, not a curated record. Lineage: Eukaryota; Viridiplantae; Streptophyta; Magnoliopsida; Poales; Poaceae.
CUCGGCCCUCCCCGUUCCCCAAUCAAAAAAAAAAAAACCCCGGCGGGCGGCGGCGCGCAGCUCCAUCCCUAGGCCGGGCCGGCGCGGUGGCACCCCACAGCUUCCAGACUCAGGCUAGGGCGGCCGGGCGGAUCCGCGCCAUCUCCAUCCGGCUGCUGGCUGCUGCUGCUGAGCUGCUCUGCGCCUUCGCUGCUUGGCUGCGGACUGCAGUGCGGUGCAGCCGGCAGGCACCGUCGUGGCGUUGACGUCUGCCGUCAGGGACUCGGAUCCGGCAGUCCGCAUUCCGGUUGCGCCCUUAGACCUCAGCACGACGUCCCCUGCUGCAGUGCGCAGUGCUGCUUGCCUGCUUAGUGGUUGGUAUAGUCUCGAGGAGUCUUAAGCACGUGAAGUCAUUUCUGUGUGGACAAUUUGAUGAAUGUAUAGAAAAUGCCAAGAGUCAAACACUCAAGCUAGCCUGCUAAAGAAGACUCACAAUGAAGAGAAAUAUGUUCACAGAGUGAAUUCCAUUAUGCAUGCCCUUGAAAUCGAAAGGUCCCCUUCUCCACUUGAAGGUGAGUUGAAUACUCAUGAAUCUUGUGCAUCCAUAGAAGACCUGAUGUUUUUCCGAGAACGUAUAAAGGAUCAGAUAUCAAAACCGAUGAGCCAAACUACUGAUUGUAGUAAAGAGGGUUUAUCUUCAAUUCGAGAUGAUAGGGGUUUCAAGAUGGAAAACGUAAGCUUUGUGACACCAAUACCUGAAGGUAGCCACAAGAGCUGUAAGAAUUUGUUGCCACCCCUGAAUAAAGGGACAAUGGAAUGCCAGUCACAAUACAGUGAUGUUGUUAGGUUAGAUGCAAGGGUUGAAGGUGCUGGCUGUGAGCUCACUGGACUUGAAAAUGGCACACCACUUUAUGACGUAGAGCUGACUGUUCAUGGAAACUACGAGGGCCAUGGCUUGCCCCUUGCUUUCAUCACAAGUAAAUCAACUGGUAAACCUGUAAAAGGCUACCCUGUCACUGUGGAGGUUUUGGAAGAUGGUUGUUAUGCAGCAAGUAUUGCCGCCCACCAAUUAGCAGCCUUGAGUGCCUACACAAGAGUAGAAAUUAAUUACCGUGGCUAGCAAGAUCUUUACAUGCACCACUAUCAAAUCCGGGGAGCAAACAGGAAGCCUGUAGUUGCAACUUGCAAAAGCCUCCCUUCUGCCGUGCUGAUCCCAAGGGGUGUUCAGCUGAUGCUGGCAGCACAAGGGAGUGCCAUGUAAGACCGACAACCGUUUUUGCUGGUUCCUACCAGGAUCAGCAACAGCUGCACUUCUCUAUACUUAUGUUCUGCCUCCUCUUAAUUGUGCUCCUCUGCGUCUGUUUUAAUUAAGUUGAGAGGAAAAGUUGGGACUAUUGAUGACUGGAGGGACAUGGAAGGUCGAUUGGAAGUGCGUAGUGGCAUGGCAGGGUACAAUUUAAGUGGCAAGUCUCAGCUGUUUCGAUCUUUCUCUCAGUUGAAGUGGCAAGCUAGGGCAUGUACAGUAGUCAUCUCUGUUGAUCUCCACCAAACCUAGAGAUGACUUAAGAGACUAUUGAUAUAAUUAGUUGUGUAUCAUAGUAUCAUGUGCCUCCAUAUGAUCCUACAAGAUUUCUUUGUAGUCCAUGUCUCCAUGGGAUUGUAGGAUUACAAGAUAUUUCAAGAUGAAUAUCCGGAUCCUGACAAUCUUCUUGUUCAUUGAGAGUACUCGACAGAGGCUAUAGAAGAUAGAAGAGAAUGUUGUCUGAAAUCGGUAAGUGAGUGUUUGGUCGGCAAGUUGAACUCACAUGCUCAAACUGGAUCGUGGGAAGCUGGUGGUUGUUAGGUAACAUGAUUCUAGCUAUGGCUUCUUUCUCUCACUUACGCGUGGACACACUAUCAUGGUGGAUAAUUAUGUAUUUGAAGUAUUUCACAAUGCAACAAAAGCUAGGUUUGUGGC